UACGAAGGGGGCUAGCGUUUCUCGGAAUGACUGGGCGUAAAGGGCGCGUAGGCGGACUGCACAGUCAGGCGUGAACUUCCUGGGCUUAACCUGGGGACUGCGUCUGAGACGUGUGAUCUAGAGUGAGGAAGAGGGUCGUGGAAUUUCCAGUGUAGAGGUGAAAUUCGUAGAUAUUGGAAAGAACACCGGUGGCGAAGGCGGCGACCUGGUCCUUGACUGACGCUGAGGAGCGAAAGCGUGGGGAGCAAACAGG
This 253-nucleotide ribosomal RNA is filed under the name uncultured bacterium. RNAcentral's name for it is "partial 16S ribosomal RNA". It matches the Rfam family "Bacterial small subunit ribosomal RNA", at positions 524 to 776 of the family's 1533-position model. The record is from RNAcentral.